GGGGAAUAUUGGACAAUGGGGGGAACCCUGAUCCAGCCAUGCCGCGUGUGUGAAGAAGGCCUUUUGGUUGUAAAGCACUUUAAGCGAGGAGGAGGCGCCCUAGAUUAAUACUCUAGGAGCGUGGACGUUACUCGCAGAAUAAGCACCGGCUAACUCUGUGCCAGCAGCCGCGGUAAUACAGAGGGUGCGAGCGUUAAUCGGAUUUACUGGGCGUAAAGCGUACGUAGGCGGCUUUUUAAGUCGGAUGUGAAAUCCCUGAGCUUAACUUAGGAAUUGCAGUCGAUACUGGGAAGCUAGAGUAUGGGAGAGGAUGGUAGAAUUCCAGGUGUAGCGGUGAAAUGCGUAGAGAUCUGGAGGAAUACCAAUGGCGAAGGCAGCCAUCCGGCCUAAUACUGACGCUGAGGUACGAAAGCAUGGGGAGCAAAC
RNAcentral lists this ribosomal RNA (426 nucleotides) under uncultured bacterium. RNAcentral's name for it is "bacterial SSU rRNA". It matches the Rfam family "Bacterial small subunit ribosomal RNA", at positions 356 to 773 of the family's 1533-position model. The record is from RNAcentral.